Molecule: ribosomal RNA, 253 nt
Filed under: uncultured bacterium
Lineage: Bacteria
Description: partial 16S ribosomal RNA
Rfam family: Bacterial small subunit ribosomal RNA
Source: RNAcentral
UACGUAGGGACCGAGCGUUGUCCGGAAUCAUUGGGCGUAAAGAGCGUGUAGGCGGCCACUUAAGUCCUGCGUGAAAUCUUGCGGCUCAACCGCAAGCGGUCGUGGGAAACUGGGUGGCUAGAGUGCGGGAGAGGAGAGUGGGAUUCCUGGUGUAGCGGUGGAAUGCGCAGAUAUCAGGAAGAACACCCGUGGCGAAGGCGGCUCUCUGGAACGCAACUGACGCUGAGAUGCGAAAGCGUGGGGAGCAAACAGG